GAUGAAGAACGUAGCGAAAUGCGAUAAGUAAUGUGAAUUGCAGAAUUCAGUGAAUCAUCGAAUCUUUGAACGCACAUUGCGCCCGCCAGUAUUCUGGCGGGCAUGCCUGUUCGAGCGUCAUUACAACCCUCAGGCCCCCGGGCCUGGCGUUGGGGAUCGGCGGAGCCCCCCGUGGGCACACGCCGUCCCCCAAAUACAGUGGCGGUCCCGCCGCAGCUUCCAUCGCGUAGUAGCUAACACCUCGCGACUGGAGAGCGGCCCGGCCACGCCGUAAAACACCCAACUCUUCUGAAGUUGACCUCGAAUCAGGUAGGAAUACCCGCUGAACUUAAGCAUAUCAAUAAGCGGAGGA
Molecule: unclassified non-coding RNA, 352 nt
Filed under: soil metagenome
Description: partial contains 5.8S ribosomal RNA, internal transcribed spacer 2, and large subunit ribosomal RNA
Rfam family: 5.8S ribosomal RNA (bases 1-120)
Source: RNAcentral